CUGAUGGCUUCGCUGUCUUCUGUAAAAAUUGCUAUGAGAGAACUUUUCACUCACUGUUUUGCAGUUUCUCCCUCAGUCCCUGGUUCUUUCUUCUCACAUAAUCCCAAUUUCAAUUUAUAGUUCAUGGCCCAGGCAGAGUCAUUCAUCACGGCAUCUCCUGAGCUAAACCAGCACCUGCUCUGCUCACUUCUUGACUGGCUGCUCAUCAUCAGCCCUCUGCAGAGAUUUCAUUUCCUCCGUGCCAGUAGCCAUCGACCCUCUGAUGAGGAUGCCCCCUCCAACAGGCACCGCCAGGCAGCCCUGCCUGGAGACCCAGAGGCACCGAGUCACAUUUGCUCUGCACACCUGGCUCUCGCUUGAUGUGGGCCUGUGUGCUACAGCCCGGAACACAAAAGAAGACACCCAUGCAAAUACCAUUAAAAGUUUAUUGUUUUAUUUCA
Long non-coding RNA from Homo sapiens (human), 440 nucleotides. NCBI's taxonomy places the organism in Eukaryota, Metazoa, Chordata, Mammalia, Primates, Hominidae. The record is from Ensembl.